Molecule: non-coding RNA, 1605 nt
Organism: Oryctolagus cuniculus (rabbit)
Lineage: Eukaryota; Metazoa; Chordata; Mammalia; Lagomorpha; Leporidae
Source: RefSeq, a predicted model, not a curated record
GGGUGGGGUGCAGUGAGGGUGGGUCUCCCCUCUUCAAUUCCUCCUAUUGUUCCCCAGAAGUCUUAUCUGGGCCCUACGUCCUGUCACCCUCCCCUUACGGAUCCCUCCCCCCAUUGUCGGCCUGGGGGACCUCAGGCCCACAGGGAGUCUCCAGCCUCUCCUCACCCUCCCACCCCAGCAGUCUAUUGUCUGCUGAGGAAGUCCAAGUGCACGUGACCAAGCCCAGGGGACAGACGGACAGUGGACACACGGAUGCGCAAAGACCCAGGCGGGGCAUCUGGACGUGGAUCUCUGCACGCCCGGCUCUCUCUGUUCCAGAGGUUGGGAGGGGUGACGAUCCCCAUAGGUUCCCCACUCGACGCUGAGGUUUGAAGAACCUCUCCUGCUCAGUAUGACGUGACUGAUGGCCUCACAGACGGCAAAGACAAGGAGAUCUGGAGCCAGGAAGGGGCCACAGCGCCCAGGACCCUCUGCACCGUCCCAUCCUCCCUCGGCGGAGUGAGGAGUCCUCGUGAGGAAAGGGUCUCCCCGGACGUAUCUGUGGCCAUCGGAUGGAAACCCACGGACUUCCGCGACUGCCCUGCAGAACUCUUGUUUGCAGGUAAACUGAGUUGGAGGUACCGCGCUACUGAGGGCCCCCAAAGACCCCCCCGAAUCCACCGUAAUCCCCACUUUCUUACCCCAUCCUGCCCGGGUACGGCGCAUGCGCGGAGCAUGCCCCCCAUGACCCCCAGUAUCCGGUCAGUGCGGCCAGGGGCGGGGCGGUCCGGGGGCUUCAUGCUGGACCCCUACCCUGCUCCAAGUUUCAGGGCCGAGGGGGCACGGAAGCUGGGGGGCUCUGAGGCCUGCGCGCGUCCGGGGAGUUGCUGCUGCCGAAUCCGCCCCCUGCCCGGCUCCGCCCCUGCUCCCACCCCAGCCAAACUUUGCAAAAGGGGUAGGGUUGUUCCUCUCUCUACAACCAUAGCUCAACAACAAACAAACCCCUCUUGAUCCUGAUUCCAAUAUCGAAGCGCGUGACAGGGCUUCGCAGCGUUGCUACAGAGCCCACAGCGCGCAUUGCGUUUCUGCAGCUCCUCCCCAAGCAGAGGCAGCCAGAAAGGCUCACCGGGGUUCCCAGACACCCCCCCCCCCGCCCCUUCCCCGCAAGCCCCACUCCCCCAUCCUGCCCCCACCCUUGCAGGGAACACAACGGGUGUGGCAUAGAGAGUUGCAUAUUUUACUUUAUUUUUAUUAAAUUAAAAGCUACAGUCUGGCGGCGAUUCCAGAAGGGGGUAAGGAGGUUCCUUAUAGGGGGCAGAGAAGAGCGAGGGAAAGACAGACUGACAGAGACAGACACAGGAGAGAAAGGACAAGAUUAGGGUGGGAGAACUGUAUCUGAUGAACACACACACACACACACACACACACACACACAGAGCCGGCUCCAUGGGGGGCUCACAUCAGCCCAAUUCCUCCUCCCCCACAAGGAAGUUCAGCAGUGAAGCAGUAUGGGGGGUAGGGAUUCCAGGGACCCCCCCUGCCCCUCCCCACCCCAGUCCUUUCUCAGUUUAGUCACUGGAGCACAGCACAUACCAGGAAAAGCCAAGGGCACUGGAGGGCCUAGGA